This 342-nucleotide long non-coding RNA is filed under the name Ictidomys tridecemlineatus (thirteen-lined ground squirrel). RNAcentral describes it as "lncRNA (ENSSTOG00000030611.1)". The record is from RNAcentral. Lineage: Eukaryota; Metazoa; Chordata; Mammalia; Rodentia; Sciuridae.
ACAGCUCAGGGGUGAGCAGAAGGGCAUUUGGGAGGUCAAAAGUGGACCUGGUGGAGGAAAAUGGGUUUCCUUUCUGCACCAGUCGCAAGCAUGUACAGAAAAUGCACUCAACCAGAAAAGGCGACAGGAGCAAGUGUGCAGGACAACCUAACCGAAAAGAAAAAAACUGUCAGGGAACCAGAAACACGCCACCAACCAGGAUAUCACUGUCCCUUUCCAGGGGACAGGGGACCUCUCUUCAGUUUGCAUCUGCUUAACUUUGAGCAACAGAUCUUUAAAAAGCUCUCUUCCUAUAAGUGUCUAGAGAACAAAAUAAAGAAAUUUAGCUUAUGAAAUGCUAAC